Molecule: ribosomal RNA, 445 nt
Filed under: Apanteles sp. Rodriguez17
Lineage: Eukaryota; Metazoa; Arthropoda; Insecta; Hymenoptera; Braconidae
Description: partial 28S ribosomal RNA
Source: RNAcentral
AAACCGUUCAGGGGUAAACCUGUGAAACCCAAAAGAUCGAAUGAGGAGAUUCAUCGUCAGCGUAAUCAGUAUUAAUGCAGGCUAUGAUGUGAUAAUAGAAUCCUCGUGGUCACUAGAUUAUACUUGCUUGUGUUAUUUUUGCUGGGUGCGUCGGCGUGCACUUCUCCUCUAGUAGAACGUCGCAACCCGUUGGAUGUUUAUCUAUGGCCUGAUUGGUAGCCUUUGAUAUAAUUUUAUAUUGAAGACCUUUUGGUGUCCUGAUAAACUGUCUGACGGUAUACGNAUAUAGUAUUGAGCCGCAAUUAUUUGCGUUAGACUUCUGCAAGUAAGGCUUUAUUCUGGUAGUGCAGAUUUAAUGCUGUCGCUGGNACAAAGUCUGCUGUUAGCUGGUAAUGUCUUUAACUGGCUUAUUUACUGGUUAGCGAUGCUACGCUUUGGGUACUUA